This 334-nucleotide unclassified non-coding RNA is filed under the name soil metagenome. RNAcentral describes it as "partial contains 5.8S ribosomal RNA, internal transcribed spacer 2, and large subunit ribosomal RNA". The stretch from base 1 to 120 matches the Rfam family "5.8S ribosomal RNA", at positions 35 to 154 of the family's 154-position model. The record is from RNAcentral.
GAUGAAGAACGCAGCGAAAUGCGAUAAGUAAUGUGAAUUGCAGAAUUCAGUGAAUCAUCGAAUCUUUGAACGCACAUUGCGCCCGCCAGUAUUCUGGCGGGCAUGCCUGUUCGAGCGUCAUUUCAACCAUCAAGCCCCAGGCUUGUGUUGGAGCCCUGCGGCUGCCGCAGCCUCCCAAAACCAGUGGCGGGCUCGCUAUCACACCGAGUGCAGUAGUUUACUCUUCGCUCAGGGCGUGUGGCGGGAGCUAGCCGUAAAACCCCCAACUUCUCAAGGUUGACCUCGGAUCAGGUAGGAAUACCCGCUGAACUUAAGCAUAUCAAUAAGCGGAGGA